Python bivittatus (Burmese python) is the source of this 1432-nucleotide non-coding RNA. The record is from RefSeq and is a predicted model, not a curated record. NCBI's taxonomy places the organism in Eukaryota, Metazoa, Chordata, Lepidosauria, Squamata, Pythonidae.
UAAAAAGAAAGAAGAAUGCAUCCAGGAGCGCAGCAUAACAGCCUUAGAAGAUGUUGAAUUUGCCUCACAUUAAUCCUACCUUUAGUAUACAGUAACAAACAUCACACUACGUAAAAGAACAACUAAAAUUUCAGAGUAACACCGUUUUCUCUUUUUGCAGCCAUACAGUUCUGCAGUCCUAAAUGAAAUAUCAAAGUUGGUAGAGGUUUGAGAUCUGGAUUUAACUUGCAAAAUACAUUUCAUUAAAAGUUGGGGUAUGACAGUCUUCUGGGUAUCUGACCUCUUCAUUUCAUUACAUGAGGCAAAGGAGGGAGGCAAAGUGAUUUCCCCAUACUUCAGCAUCUCCUCCGAUUAGCAUCCAUUAUACCUACCACCACGCUCCCUAUAAAGGCCUUUAUCCAAAACGAACAGUAAACGCGACUCGCUUUGUCCCAAGCCCUCCUCCUCAGCACCCUAUCAGGAUUGUCCCGGAAAGACCUCUCUCCGGCCGCUACACUUCCUCCAGGGAUGCGCAAAGGCUCUUCUGCAGCUGAGGCGCUGCUGAACCCCGCAGCAUGGGCAGAAAGGGGCGCCUCUCCGCAGCAGGAACCGGGGUGGUCCCACUCCAUCCGGCGCCGGGGGUCCACACGGCUAAGCGCCAGCACGCGUGCAAAGAGAGGAGGCCCCGGCGACUGCCCGCCCCCGCGGUUGGUUUGGUUUCGUUUCGAAACGAAGUUCCGAACGGGCAGACUCAGGAGGAGCCAGGCCCGUGCUCCUGACGUGUUUCCGGAAACCGGUACCGCCGCAGCCACGUGACACGGAGGGGGAGGCGGUGGCUACGAUGGCGCGCGGAGAGAUCCCCCUCCUACCCCCAGUCAACCAAGAGUCAUGUGACCCCGGGAAUUGUGAUCGCGGACGGUGCGGAGGAGAAGGAAAGGAAGCGCAAAGAACGCCUUCGCCCUCGUGACGUCAUACAGGGCUCCCAUGGCAACUGCUCUGUUAGGAGAGGCUUGAAAACUACAUUUCCUGACCAUAUACUGUAACAUCUUUAGCUUGAGUUCAAACUUUUCUGCAAACUCUCCUUCACUGUAGUCAGGAUGCAUAACAGACGUUUGUUUGCUGUAUCAGAUUUCAGGACUUGAAUAGUACUACGAACAACAAGAACAACAAUAAAGACAACUCAAGGCUGUUCUGGCUGGUGGCUGAUCAUCCAAACCUGUGUAACACUGUCUUGCCGCUGGCCACCUCACCUUCAGGACUAGGGACUGACAUGGAGUGUUAUAGAGACCCCAGAUUAAUUGACCCCAUUUGAUCUUCCAUCAUUUAUUGACCAAAUAUUGACACCCCCCCAGACAUUUACUGACCCCCUUUUGACCCCCAGACAUUUAUUGACCCCUUGAAUAGUUCCAUCAACCCUUUGGGGAGGGUUCCACUUUGGGGAACCCUGGGUAUC